CCCAAUCCCCAAUCCCCAAUCCCCAAUCCCCAAUCCCAAAUCCCCAAUCCCCAAAUCCCCAAUCCCAAAUCCCAAAUCCCCAAUCCCAAAUCCCCAAUCCUGACCCCAAUCCCCAAUCCCAAAUCCCCAAUCCCCAAAUCCCCAAUCCCAAAUCCCAAAUCCCCAAUCCCAAAUCCCCAAUCCCAAAUCCCCAAUCCCAAAUCCCAAACCCCAAACCCCAAACCCAAAUUCCCGAUCCCCGAUCCCCAAUCCCAAAUCCCAAAUCCCAAAUCCCCAAUCCCGUUGUAUUCCUGUUGUUUCCCGUUGUUUCCCGUUGUUAUCCCGUUGUAUUCCCGCUGUUAUCCCGUUGUAUUCCCAGUGUUAUCCCGCUGUCGUUCCCAUUGUUAUCCCAUUGUAUUCCCAUUGUAUUCCCGUUGUAUUCCUGCUGUAUUCCCGUUGUUAUCCCAUUGUUAUCCCAUUGUAUUCCCGUUGUAUUCCCGUUGUUUCCCAUUGUUAUCCCAUUGUUAUCCCAUUGUGUUCCCAUUGUUAUCCCGCUGUUUCCCGCUGUCAUUCCCAUUGUUAUCCCGUUGUUAUCCCGUUGUAUUCCCGUUGUAUUCCCGCUGUUUCCCGCUGUCGUUCCCAUUGUUAUCCCAUUGUGUUCCCGUUGUAUUCCCGGUGUUAUCCCGCUGUUACCCCAUUGUUAUCCCAUUGUAUUCCCGUUGUUUCCCGGUGUUAUCCCGUUGUUAUCCCGUUGUAUUCCCGCUGUUAUCCCGUUGUAUUCCCGUUAUAUUCCCAUUGUUAUCCCAUUGUUAUCCCAUUGUAUUCCCAUUGUAUUCCCGUUGUAUUCCCAUCGUUAUCCCAUUGUAUUCCCGUUGUAUUCCCGCUGUUAUCCCGUUGUAUUCCCGCUGUCGUUCCCAUUGUUAUCCCAUUGUAUUCCCGCUGUUAUCCCGUUGUAUUCCCGUUGUAUUCCCGCUGUUUCCCCCUGUCGUUCCCAUUGUUAUCCCAUUGUAUUCCCAUUGUUAUCCCGCUGUUAUCCCAUUGUUAUCCCGUUGUAUUCCCGUUGUAUUCCCGCUGUUAUCCCAUUGUAUUCCCGGUGUUAUCCCGCUGUUAUCCCGUUGUAUUCCCGUUGUAUUCCCGUUGUAUUCCCGUUGUAUUCCCGUUGUAUUCCCGCUGUUUCCCGCUGUCGUUCCCAGCAUGCCGGUGGUGGUGGAGGACGCCACGUCCUCGGCCAGCGUCACCCUGCGGGUGCAGCCCCACAUCACCAUCGGCACCCUCAAGGAACAGGUACGGGGACACACCUGGGCACACCUGGGGGGACAUGGGGACACACCUGGGGACACCUGGGGACACCUGGGGACACACCUGGGGGGACAUGGGGACACCUGGGGACACCUGGGGACACCUGGGGACACACCUGGGGACACCUGAGGACACA
This 1414-nucleotide long non-coding RNA is filed under the name Cyanistes caeruleus (blue tit). RNAcentral's name for it is "lncRNA (ENSCCEG00000000665.1)". The record is from RNAcentral. Lineage: Eukaryota; Metazoa; Chordata; Aves; Passeriformes; Paridae.